UUAAAAAUAACGGGAAAAAUGGGCCGAAAAGAAUUACGAAAAUCGACGAAGAAAACACACUGGAAAAACUGCUGACGAUUUGCGAUUGUGUGUGGGGCAAGUGCGAGGCGUUCACCGGCGUGCGCGUUACUGAAGAUCGGCAGUGGCAGCGGCAGCGACGGCAGCGGCUGCUGGGACAGCGACGGCAACUGCGACGUCGACUGCGACGGCGACGGCGACUGCGACUGCGAACGGGUACGGAACUGGCAGGCAGAGCAGAAGACGGCGACGUUUUUGAGCAAAUCCAGCGCAUAUUGCUCUGUGUGUGUGUGUGUGUAUGUGUGUCAGCCAACGUCAACGACCAACGGCCUGAGAAACCAGCCAAAAGUGCUCUGCAGCGCGUUUAUGCGGGCCAUGUUUGUGCGAUCGAGAAGAGAUCAGGAAAAUUCAAAAGAUUUGCAGGAAAUUUUUGUAAUAUGGAAAUACUCUUGCAAUGUUUUGCUUUUAUUUUUAUUUGGAAAUUUGCGGCACGCCGACGCCUUAAUAUCCUUGUCGACAGCAUGAUGAAAAUAUCUUGGAAAACUAUCCAAAAAAAAAAUGAAAUUUUUCCCAUCUGUUAAUUCUAAACGUUAAAAGCGCAUGCCUCAAAAUGGAUGUCUCAGAGAUAGCGGACAUGCCAAGGGUUACCCAGUUCCGAUCAAAACUUGUUAAGUAGUCAAAUUGGUUGUCGAAGCUAAUCUUUAAUAAACAAGUGAAUGCCCAUUGAGUUAGCUUUUCGCGAAUUGCCAGCACGCACAAACGAAGGCGGGCAACGAAAACAGAUUGCGACCAGCCUUGUCCACCUGUCUCGAAUUGCAGUACAGCUGCAUUGGGGCUAAAGGCCUCGGCCUUGUCGCAACUUGACCAUACAAUUUAAAGUGAAAUAUAUAAAAGAAUAAACCAAUUUUUAAGUGAACAGCAUAA
Long non-coding RNA from Drosophila virilis, 942 nucleotides. RefSeq lists it as uncharacterized. The record is from RefSeq and is a predicted model, not a curated record. Lineage: Eukaryota; Metazoa; Arthropoda; Insecta; Diptera; Drosophilidae.